CCCUUAAAAAAACCCGCAGUUAAGGGGGUUUGGGGGAAGAGAGUAUUAGAGGGGGGGCCCCCCGGGGAAGUCCUGGGGUUGCCCCC
This 86-nucleotide ribosomal RNA is filed under the name Perilla frutescens var. frutescens. Lineage: Eukaryota; Viridiplantae; Streptophyta; Magnoliopsida; Lamiales; Lamiaceae. The record is from RNAcentral.